GCGUGCUGCAGCACAGCUCCCGCUCCCUCCCGCCCCCCAGUAAGCCCUGCUGUUCCCCAGCUCCUCGCAAGUAUCAGCAGACCCACAGGAGCCCCACGGUGCUGCUCCACAUCUCCCUGCUGGAUAUCCACAUGCUCUGCUAUUGCCAUAUCCAUGGCAGCCGCUAUGAAGAGCACUGGGCUGUAGCACCUUCUCCUUGAGGACUUCCCACAUGGCUGCUGCUGUUGGCAUCAGACCUUGUCUCUUCCCAUGUGAAAACCCACCAAAACCCAGCCAAGUUACAAACCUUCUGAAAGCAGGGACAUUUUGACAAUCAUUACCCCAUGUCUGCCCUCUGGUGAGUGAUAAAUGGCCACUGCUGCCACAGUUCGGGAACUGUAUUCGUUUACUCUCUCAGCUCCCUUACUUUUGCUAAAUGAAAGAGGGAGUUAAUGAUAUUUGGGUGAUGAGACCCUGGCACAGGCUGCCCAGAGGAGCUGUGGGUGCCCUAUCCCUGUAGGCACUGAGGCCAGGUUGGAUGGGCCCUGGGCAGCCUGGUCUGGUGGGAGGUAUUCCUGCCCACGAUGAGGGGUUUUGAACUGGGUGGGCUUAAAGGUCCCUUCCAACCCAAACCAUUCUAAGAGUCUACAAUUCUGUAAUUCUGUGUUUGUAUGAUGCACCUGAUGGAGUCAGCCGGUGGCUUCCAGACAUCCCUUGACACACAGCCCAUGCAUGUACACGUGCACACUUUCACAUGACUGCACAGGCCUUUGUUUCAUUUAGUAAGACUUAGGAGGAGUGGCUGAGGGAACUAAGGCUGCUCGGUACAGAGGAAAAGAGGUGAGGGGAGACCUCAUCACUCUGUACAACCACCCAGCAGGAGGCUGCAGUAAGGAGGUUGUUGGUCUCUUUUCUCAGGUGAUAAGUGAUAGGAUGGCAGGCAACAGCCUCAUGCUGCACCAGCAGAGGUUUAGAUUGGAUGUUAGGAAGAUUUCCUUCAUGCAGAGGGUGGUCAAGUGUCGCCCAAAGGUGGUGCUUCUCAGCAGGCUGUCCCCCAGUCCCGGUGCUCCAAGCCCUGCAGGCUCUGCUCCCAGUCUCCCAGGUUUCAUAGUCCAGUUCAACAAAUAGCUGGCAAGAACAAGGAGAAGAGCAAAGGUGGACAACACAUCUUCAAGGAGGCCUUGGUUGCUUUGGUCUCACAAGCACUGAGCUGAAAAGGCCCAGUGAGCUUCGCACACGCUGGCUGGAGACCUGAGGGGGCCUCACCAUGGACAUGCGUGAGUGGCCUCUGCCAAUGCACUUCGCCUUUAUAGGCAGGGGAGCAAUGAGGCACUCGGUCACAGCUGAACACACUGAAUGGGGGAGACACUGGUGUGUUGCACUGUAUGUAGAUCA
Long non-coding RNA from Gallus gallus (chicken), 1374 nucleotides. NCBI's taxonomy places the organism in Eukaryota, Metazoa, Chordata, Aves, Galliformes, Phasianidae. The record is from Ensembl.